AGAGUUUGAUCCUGGCUCAGGAUGAACGCUGGCGGCGUGCCUAACACAUGCAAGUCGAACGGGAACAGAAUGAAACCUAGUGAUUUUGUUUAGUGGCGGACGGGUGAGUAACGCGUGGGUAACCUGCCGUAUACAGGGGGAUAACACUUAGAAAUAGGUGCUAAUACCGCAUAAGCGCACAGCUUCGCAUGGAGCAGUGUGAAAAGCGUAAACGGUAUACGAUGGACCCGCGUCUGAUUAGCUAGUUGGCGGGGUAGAGGCCCACCAAGGCGACGAUCAGUAGCCGGCCUGAGAGGGUGACCGGCCACAUUGGGACUGAGACACGGCCCAAACUCCUACGGGAGGCAGCAGUGGGGAAUAUUGCACAAUGGGGGGAACCCUGAUGCAGCGACGCCGCGUGAGUGAAGAAGUAUUUCGGUAUGUAAAGCUCUAUCAGCAGGGAAGAAAAUGACGGUACCUGACUAAGAAGUCCCGGCUAACUACGUG
Molecule: ribosomal RNA, 486 nt
Filed under: uncultured Lachnospiraceae bacterium
Lineage: Bacteria; Bacillati; Bacillota; Clostridia; Lachnospirales; Lachnospiraceae
Description: bacterial SSU rRNA
Rfam family: Bacterial small subunit ribosomal RNA
Source: RNAcentral